GCAACAUAAAUCAGUGAAUCGCCUGUCAGAAAUAAAGUGCAGCAUUUCACUUUUGCAUUGUUGCUAGAACAUAAACUAGGAACAAGUUCAUCAGCUGAGCGCGCCGACAAAAGACUCAAAGCGCCCUCUUCUUAACUCUUGUCCACAGC
Molecule: small nucleolar RNA, 149 nt
Filed under: Drosophila grimshawi
Lineage: Eukaryota; Metazoa; Arthropoda; Insecta; Diptera; Drosophilidae
Description: snoRNA:GH25880
Source: RNAcentral